Molecule: ribosomal RNA, 433 nt
Filed under: uncultured bacterium
Lineage: Bacteria
Description: partial 16S ribosomal RNA
Rfam family: Bacterial small subunit ribosomal RNA
Source: RNAcentral
AGCGAACGCUGGCGGCAGGCCUAACACAUGCAAGUCGAACGGAUCCUUCGGGAUUAGUGGCGGACGGGUGAGUAACACGUGGGAACGUGCCCUUUGGUUCGGAGCAACUCAGGGAAACUUGAGCUAAUACCGGAUGUGCCCUUCGGGGGAAAGAUUUAUCGCCAUUGGAGCGGCCCGCGUCUGAUUAGCUAGUUGGUGAGGUAACGGCCCACCAAGGCGACGAUCAGUAGCUGGUCUGAGAGGAUGAUCAGCCACACUGGGACUGAGACACGGCCCAGACUCCUACGGGAGGCAGCAGUGGGGAAUCUUGCGCAAUGGGCGAAAGCCUGACGCAGCCAUGCCGCGUGAAUCAUGAAGGUCUUAGGAUUGUAAAAUUCUUUCAGCGGGGACGAUAAUGACGGUACCCGCAGAAGAAGCUCCGGCUAACUUCGUG